Molecule: ribosomal RNA, 415 nt
Filed under: uncultured bacterium
Lineage: Bacteria
Description: bacterial SSU rRNA
Rfam family: Bacterial small subunit ribosomal RNA
Source: RNAcentral
UAUUGGUCAAUGGGCGCGAGCCUGAACCAGCCAAGUAGCGUGAAGGAUGACGGCCCUAUGGGUUGUAAACUUCUUUUAUAUGGGCAUAACGGUUGGUAUGCAUACCAUUUUGUAUGUACCAUAUGAAUAAGGAUCGGCUAACUACGUGCCAGCAGCCGCGGUAAUACGGAGGAUCCGAGCGUUAUCCGGAUUUAUUGGGUUUAAAGGGAGCGUAGGUGGACAGUUAAGUCAGUUGUGAAAGUUUGCGGCUCAACCGUAAAAUUGCAGUUGAUACUGGCGGUCUUGAGUGCAGUAGAGGUGGGCGGAAUUCGUGGUGUAGCGGUGAAAUGCGUAGAUAUCACGAAGAACUCCGAUUGCGAAGGCAGCUCACUGGACUGCAACUGACACUGAUGCUCGAAAGUGUGGGUAUCAAACA